RNAcentral lists this small RNA (126 nucleotides) under Marmota monax (woodchuck). The record is from RNAcentral. Lineage: Eukaryota; Metazoa; Chordata; Mammalia; Rodentia; Sciuridae.
GCUGGGCAUGGUGGCGCAUGCCUGUUAUCCCAGCAGCUCAGGAGCCUGAGGCAGGAGGAUCAAGAGUUCAAAGCCAGCCUCAGCAGAAAGCUAGAUGCAAAGCAACUCAGUGAGACCCUGUCUCUA